GACCAAUAAUUUAGAAUAAUAAAAUAUAUUUAAUUAGUUAUGUUAAGCAUUUUUGUUGGAAGGAUUAGAUGGAAAGACCCUUUGGGAACAUCCUCAUGGUAGUUGGAGACAUUUUUGCAGAUAUUUGACUUAGUUUUUUUUUUUGUAUCCACAAAAGUGAAAAAGAUAAAGGCCUCAACAAACACAUUUUGACUUACAAAUUCAAAAUCCUUAAAACCCCAUCGACUUGGAAAGACAACGAAAAUGGAAAGAUGGACAAAACCGUAAUCAACGUUAACGAGUAGGUUAUACAUACAGGUUCAGUUGUGCAGACGCUACACUUUCAAACUGCCCUUCCGCUUUUCAAAAAAGAAUAGAAAAAAUAUCAUUACAAAUCCAAACAGAGAACGAAGAAGAAAGAGAGAAAUCAAUAAACUAGAAACCUCUUCUCAAUCAAUUUCUGCCCCCUUUUCCCCUCCAUUCUCUCUCUCCUCUCUUUCUCUUUCAGUCAAUUGAUUACCCCUUUCCACUCCCUUCAUCACGCCCUCUGAAAUGCCAUUUCUGAUACAGCUUUUCAUUCCAAGGCCACGCGUUUUCCAAUUUCCACCCUUCUUGAGCUGUUCCAACUUUCUUCAACACUGAAUCAAUGACUAUUCAGCAUUCUAUGACCCAUUUCAGUCAACCCACUUGCACUUCAAC
This 678-nucleotide long non-coding RNA is filed under the name Panax ginseng (ginseng). Its description in RNAcentral is "long non-coding RNA (PGIN_LNC018326)". Lineage: Eukaryota; Viridiplantae; Streptophyta; Magnoliopsida; Apiales; Araliaceae. The record is from RNAcentral.